AGGCAGUUAACAUUCGUUUUACUUUAGUUUCGGGGGAGGGGGACGGGAGAGAGGGAGAGAGGGAAAGAAGGACAUGGAAACUUACAGUGAAAUUUUCGUUGUUUAUAGCUUUCUUGGGGAAGAAAACACAUGCACAAAUCCUGGUGUAAGGAAUAUUUUAAGCAUAUAUCUUCAAUAUCAUUCAUCCAGGACCGAGGUGCUACACAUGAAACUUGUAACCAGUUACUACAGGCGAAAGCAAAUCCAUGUCUUCAGGCUGGUGUCAUCAGGGAGAGAAGCUUUGGUUUCCACAUAAGGAUAUAAGAUCAUUGAUGUAAAACAAGACAUGUAACCUCUCAAAUUGAGAGAAUGGAUUGGAGAGAUAUUGUUGACCAUGUUUUCCCCUGUAUCUCACCUUCCCCUCUCCAAGACUUCCUUGUCAGUUACCCAUAUUGAUAUCAGUUUAUCCACAUCCAUGCUUUCAAGUUUAAACAAAGAAACUAGGCAAAGGCAGCUAUGUAUUCGCUAGGAUUAGGGAGGAGAAGAUAAUGAACCACUGGAUAGUGAGAAGAAAGAGAGGUGGAGAAAGUGAGAGACCCCAGUAACAGAGGACAGGGACACAUUGCUAAGGAUAGGGACACAUUCACUGUAAUAUAGAAGGCCAUGCUUAUAUGUAAAAUAUGCAGUAAUUGUAUAUAUAUGUACAAAAGUGAUGACACACAUAUGCACAUAAACAAAACACAAUUACUGUCUAUGUUUCUUUAUUUGUGACCUAAUGUUUUAUGUUGUUUGUAACUGAAAAAAAAAUUCCCUUCUGAAUAAAAUGUCAAUUUUGCGAUUGCA
RNAcentral lists this long non-coding RNA (822 nucleotides) under Homo sapiens (human). RNAcentral's name for it is "novel transcript". Lineage: Eukaryota; Metazoa; Chordata; Mammalia; Primates; Hominidae. The record is from RNAcentral.